GAUGAACGCUGGCGGCGUGCCUAAUACAUGCAAGUCGAGCGAACGGACGAGAAGCUUGCUUCUCUGAUGUUAGCGGCGGACGGGUGAGUAACACGUGGAUAACCUACCUAUAAGACUGGGAUAACUUCGGGAAACCGGAGCUAAUACCGGAUAAUAUUUUGAACCGCAUGGUUCAAAAGUGAAAGACGGUCUUGCUGUCACUUAUAGAUGGAUCCGCGCUGCAUUAGCUAGUUGGUAAGGUAACGGCUUACCAAGGCAACGAUGCAUAGCCGACCUGAGAGGGUGAUCGGCCACACUGGAACUGAGACACGGUCCAGACUCCUACGGGAGGCAGCAGUAGGGAAUCUUCCGCAAUGGGCGAAAGCCUGACGGAGCAACGCCGCGUGAGUGAUGAAGGUCUUCGGAUCGUAAAACUCUGUUAUUAGGGAAGAACAUAUGUGUAAGUAACUGUGCACAUCUUGACGGUACCUAAUCAGAAAGCCACGGCUAACUACGUGCCAGCAGCCGCGGUAAUACGUAGGUGGCAAGCGUUAUCCGGAAUUAUUGGGCGUAAAGCGCGCGUAGGCGGUUUUUUAAGUCUGAUGUGAAAGCCCACGGCUCAACCGUGGAGGGUCAUUGGAAACUGGAAAACUUGAGUGCAGAAGAGGAAAGUGGAAUUCCAUGUGCAGCGGUGAAAUGCGCAGAGAUAUGGAGGAACACCAGUGGCGAAGGCGACUUUCUGGUCUGUAACUGACGCUGAUGUGCGAAAGCGUGGGGAUCAAACAGGAUUAGAUACCCUGGUAGUCCACGCCGUAAACGAUGAGUGCUAAGUGUUAGGGGGUUUCCGCCCCUUAGUGCUGCAGCUAACGCAUUAAGCACUCCGCCUGGGGAGUACGACCGCAAGGUUGAAACUCAAAGGAAUUGACGGGGACCCGCACAAGCGGUGGAGCAUGUGGUUUAAUUCGAAGCAACGCGAAGAACCUUACCAAAUCUUGACAUCCUUUGACAACUCUAGAGAUAGAGCCUUCCCCUUCGGGGGACAAAGUGACAGGUGGUGCAUGGUUGUCGUCAGCUCGUGUCGUGAGAUGUUGGGUUAAGUCCCGCAACGAGCGCAACCCUUAAGCUUAGUUGCCAUCAUUAAGUUGGGCACUCUAAGUUGACUGCCGGUGACAAACCGGAGGAAGGUGGGGAUGACGUCAAAUCAUCAUGCCCCUUAUGAUUUGGGCUACACACGUGCUACAAUGGACAAUACAAAGGGCAGCGAAACCGCGAGGUCAAGCAAAUCCCAUAAAGUUGUUCUCAGUUCGGAUUGUAGUCUGCAACUCGACUACAUGAAGCUGGAAUCGCUAGUAAUCGUAGAUCAGCAUGCUACGGUGAAUACGUUCCCGGGUCU
RNAcentral lists this ribosomal RNA (1372 nucleotides) under uncultured bacterium. RNAcentral's name for it is "bacterial SSU rRNA". It matches the Rfam family "Bacterial small subunit ribosomal RNA", at positions 28 to 1381 of the family's 1533-position model. The record is from RNAcentral.